UACGAAGGGUGCAAGCGUUACUCGGAAUUACUGGGCGUAAAGCGUGCGUAGGCGGUUUGUUAAGUCUGCUGUGAAAGCCCCGGGCUCAACCUGGGAACGGCAGUGGAUACUGGCAAGCUAGAGUGUGUCAGAGGAUGGUGGAAUUCCCGGUGUAGCGGUGAAAUGCGUAGAGAUCGGGAGGAACAUCAGUGGCGAAGGCGGCCAUCUGGGACAACACUGACGCUGAGGCACGAAAGCGUGGGGAGAAAACAGG
This 253-nucleotide ribosomal RNA is filed under the name uncultured bacterium. RNAcentral's name for it is "partial 16S ribosomal RNA". It matches the Rfam family "Bacterial small subunit ribosomal RNA", at positions 524 to 776 of the family's 1533-position model. The record is from RNAcentral.